ACGACUCUCGGCAACGGAUAUCUCGGCUCACGCAUCGAUGAAGAACGUAGCAAAAUGCGAUACUUGGUGUGAAUUGCAGAAUCCCGUGAACCAUCGAGUUUUUGAACGCAAGUUGCGCCCAAAGCCAUUUGGUUGAGGGCACGUCUGCCUGGGCGUCACGC
This 161-nucleotide ribosomal RNA is filed under the name Ozothamnus diosmifolius. Its description in RNAcentral is "5.8S ribosomal RNA". It matches the Rfam family "5.8S ribosomal RNA". From Rfam's summary of the family: 5.8S ribosomal RNA (5.8S rRNA) is a component of the large subunit of the eukaryotic ribosome. It is transcribed by RNA polymerase I as part of the 45S precursor that also contains 18S and 28S rRNA. Functionally, it is thought that 5.8S rRNA may be involved in ribosome translocation. The record is from RNAcentral. Lineage: Eukaryota; Viridiplantae; Streptophyta; Magnoliopsida; Asterales; Asteraceae. RNAcentral also lists the same sequence under 6 other names.